AUAGGCUUCUGGCAUUUCACAAUAUUGAGUUGAUUUAAUAUGUUAUUUGAAUUUUCACUUUUAGAUAGAACACUGAAUAUAGCCAUGCUGUAGGAGAUCUCCUCUGGAUGCCAAGAUCAAUAUUACAUCAAGCCUAUGAACCUGUUUUGGAGUUACAGAACCCAUAAAUAUUUGGAGUGUAACGAAUUUCCAACAUAAAAUAUUUUUAAAAAACUUCAAUCAAUGUCUGUUUCAAAAAAGAUUCACUUGGAAUGAGGUGAGGAAGAGACAAAACCAAUGGAUCCUCAGGUGGCAAAUAUGAUAAGGAACAUCACUGGCUUUUGGAUAAUAUCACAUAUAUAUUGUUCAUUCAUGUUUUUCGAAAUGAGACAAAGACUAAAGAAAAACGCUUUUAUGUGGCACAUGCAUGGGAUCCUGUCAGUGACUUAUUCAAUGGAAGUGUGUGUUUGUAUUUGUUAUUUGUGGACAAAGCACAGUUGUCCAGGAUUUAUUCUCAAGAAAGAUUGGGUGAACUGGUGUUCUUGGAUCCUCAUUUUGACCUUCUACAUGCUCAUAAUAAUGAUUGUUUUGAAAUUUUCCUCUAAAUAUAUUUCCUUUUAUUUAAUGAUACUGCUCUUUUCAGAGAAUUUCACCAAUACUGAGCACAUUAUCUUUUCGAUUUCUAUAUUUAGGGUAUUUUUUACAUGGUUUUUUUCCUUAUUAUUUAAAAAAUUCUCUAGGCUUCUCAGAAAUAAGGAGCUCUGUCCCAACCUUUCUGUGCAACUCUGAGCCUUGGUUUUGAGCACAAAGGUCUCUGUUUGCAGAGGGAAACUUUGACUGCUCUGUUCAGGAAACAGCCUAGUUUCACAGAGUUUGCCUUCUGAGCUGGGACUGGAAGCUGCCCCACUGAUUUGUUCUUAGAUUGAGGCAGGGCAGAGCGCCUUCAGUGUGAUUUGCUGUGAUUAAGAUCCUCUCACCAAACUUUCCCACAGUCUAUCUGAACUGGUCUGAACACACUUUUCACCCCAAUGAGACUGACUUUUUUUGAACUUUUUUUCAGUCUGUGUUGAGCUGGAAAGUAGGUUCAUUCCAUCAGACUCUGUUCAGAGGCUUGGUUUCAUGGGAUUUUCCAGGGAAACUGGGAGAACUGGAGCAGCUCCCUGAUUUUAUUCCACCAUCUUGGCUCCACCUCAGAAGUCUUUUUUUCCUAUUCUUAUUUAAAGGUUUAAGUUCCAAAUUCUGUCCCUCUUUUCCUUCUCUCCCCUCCCCAAGAUUGUAAGCAGUCAGAUAUAGUUUAUACAUGUGCAAUUAUGUAAGACUUCCAUAUUCGUCAUUUUAUACAAGAAGACUCAAAUGAAAGAAAAAAAGCAAUAAAGAGAUAAAUACCAUGUUUCACCCUGAAUUCAGCCAGUAUGAGUUUUUCUAUGAAGGUGGAUAGUAUGUUUUAUUAUUAUUCUUUUGCGAUUGUCUUCCAUUGUUGUCAAGAUGAAAAUAAGUAAGUCAUUCAAACUAAGUAUACUUUUAACUUGUGUUCAGCUUAUCUUCACGAGACAGUAGUUCAAGUAACUGGAACUUAUUCUUUAGACUUGCUGGCAUACAGAAAAUGACUAGACUGCCCUGGCAAUCAUCCAAGGUUUAUUCCCCAGAACCAGUGAUGCUCAAUUUGCUAGGAAAUGGGGGAGUACCAAGGGGAAGGCUAACAAAGAUGAAGCCAGAGGAAAGGGAGGGCCCAAGGAAGAAGGUAGACCAGGAGUCUUAGAACCUGAUCUGGAGGCAUCUAAGGAACAAAGUUGGGCUAUUUUGAAGAACAAGAUGUUUUUCUCCAUCUCUAUUCUCUCCCUCCAUCUUUUUUCUUUCUCUCCUCUCCUUGCUUAUCUUCUUCCUGCUCAUUCUCUGCUUCCUUCUUCCGUUUAAAGCUAGAACUAGCAUCCAAACUACAUAGGAUUCUGCCCUCAUUCCUAUAUCCUCCCCUGGAAUGGGCAGCAGGCAUUGCAUGCUACCUUCUGUGCUUUCUCUCUUCUAAUGCCAGCUGGUCCACAGUCUCACCAUCCUUCUGUGUGGUAUGGCAAAUGCUAAGUCAAAAUGACUUCUCAGAAGUCUCUCAAAGUGAAGAAUAGAAGCUUAUUCAGGAAUCUCAUGAAAACCAGACAUCCAAUAAACUGGGGUUCCCCAGGAAAAAUGAGAUCACCCCUUCAGAAGUCAGGGGAGAUUAUAUAGUCACAAGCCAUAAGAAAUCAUGACAAUGCCUCCCUCCCCUACAAAUCUGGUAGAUUCUCAUUAUCUUGCUUAAUACCUGGAAGUAACAUGGACUUGUUAAAUUUUGACCUGAAUUUUAUGAUGCUCAGUUUGACAAGUUUUACAACUGUUUUACUUUAUCCAAUAUGAGCACUCUAUUUCCCAAAUUCACCAGGUAGACUGAAUCUAAGCCAUAUAUUCAAUCUACCUUAGUUAAUGAUUUUAUAAGAAACCAUAUAAUUCCCUCACAAAGAGGACAUUUGUUUAGAGGUAAGUAAUCCAUUAAACUAGAAUAACCAAGGAGACUUGGUUUACCCCAGACUUCCUCAACAAAUAGAGAUUAUCCAGUUUAUAGACCCCUUAGAAUAUCUCCAGUUCAUUAAUUAGUUAGCUUCUUCUAAGAAGUUAAGUAGAGGUUCAGGAGGUCAAAUAUUUCUACUAGAAGAGCAAACUUUUUUUUUCUCCUUCCCAGAGUCCUAAUGAUUAACAGACCUUUGAAAUUGGGUCUGGAAUUAUCAGAGAUAUCCUCAGUUUCCUGUUACACUCACCUCCAACUCCCAAAACUUCAAGAUAGUCAUAUUCCUUCCCUGAGGAAGAAUGCACUGUGGUCAUAAAUUCAUCCCUUCUCCAAAGAUCUGAUAGGUAAAUUAUCCCUUGUUCUCCUAAUUUGUUUAUGGUAUCAUCCUUUAUGCCCAAAUCAUGUAUCCAUUUUGAUCAUAUUUUGGUAUGGGAUAUGAAGUGUAUGUCUAUGCCUACAUUUAGACAUAUUAUUUUCUGACAUAUUAUUUGACAGGUGUUUCCCAGGGCAGCAGUUAACCCAGAUAAUUAUAUAAUAAUUAUAUGAUAAUAUAUAUAUAUAUAAUAAUUAUAUAAUAUUAAAUAAAGUUCAGG
Long non-coding RNA from Sarcophilus harrisii (Tasmanian devil), 3105 nucleotides. The record is from Ensembl. Lineage: Eukaryota; Metazoa; Chordata; Mammalia; Dasyuromorphia; Dasyuridae.